AUUGAUUAUGGACUCCAGAUUGCGGGAUAGCUAUUGGCAGACGAGAAAUCGCUCUUUAUGUUGUGCCCUAACUUCCAGCUCUAUAUCCCAUAUUUUCUCUCGGAGGUGCUGGCCGUUUUGUACCUUCAAUCGCGCGGCGAUUGCUUGCUUUGAGCGCCCGCCUUGGCGCUUAUACUGCUGGAGCCGAUGCCUCACGGAAACAGUACGGCUCUGCCAUACCACUGGGGUAGCCGGCUCGACGCGUGGAUCACCCGACAUGGGGUCGGAGUACAAAAUCAUUCUGGGAGCCUGCUAACUGUACGGAGAGACGUACUGCGUGCCGCAUCGCGAAGCAAUAUGCAGGGAGUCUACAGCGGCCAGAGCGACGUCCAGGCGCAAUCUACCCGCUCUUUGUCCCAGAGUGAACUGCGUAGCGGACGAGUUGCUGCUCAGAUAUCACUAAAGCACCUGCCAUUGGAGAGGUAGAUGAUUCACUAGCCUGGUAGACUCGAGCGGUUCGCGGGAGCGUCCGCCUAGAAGGUAACCUUUCGAAAAUGCCGAAAACCUUUCCCGUUUUCAGCGCGAACACUAUGCCACGCUCUACUGGAUGCCGAGAUCCUUCGCGCACUCGAGGAUCCCGAGCUCGUGUGUACUUUCUUUCGAUUAAGAAAUCGAGGAUCCCUGGUUCACUGAAAUGUUAUGUCGAUCAAAACAAAUUGUGUGCAGGCAGACCUGACGAUCAUCGAAUGUGACCUUGGAUUUUUUUACGGUGCAAGAUCGUCAAGACUGACCGGGAAACCCCAAGGGUGCGAGCGUUGUAGGAAGCCGCCCCCAUGGCUGGAGGCACUGCAACGCCACGCUGAGACCGUGCAACGUACGCGGUGCGCUGGGCAUCUGGAGAUUCACCGGGCCAAUCGAGUUUCCGUUCCUGAGGAAAAGUCCUGUCUGAUAUGUUUGUGUCGACGGCAGCAUCUGCAGUCGACAUCCGGGAAUGUCUCGUGCCUCCAGAGCGUUCGGUGGCUUUACGUUAAGCGGACGUUCGAGGGAAUCGUUUAACAGUCAUUGUGAGCGUUGUGCUGAAACGCUGAAUGCUAUCGAAGUAAACAAUCAGCGGUCAGGACAGAGGGGAUCGGUUACUCGCUGGAGCAAAGCACAAAGGUUGUACGGCAAACACAAUGCAGCAAAUCUAGAGCACGGUUGAAACUUGUACCUGGAAUCAUUCCCCCUGGAGAUUCAUGCGCGAUAAGCGUGUUCUAUGAGCUGAUACUGCUGAGUAUAUCGAUCAGCAAAAACGAGAUCGCUGCAGCGCUUCACCGUAUUUGACAAUUUUCUAUCAGCCCUGGUCUUGUCCGUCUGUGCGGAUUCUACUUUGGAUCCAGCGAGCUGCGAGACGACUUGCGUCUAUGCCAGCGCCGGCUUUCCCUAUGAUGCACAAUCGACAACGCUUACAAGAAUCCCCGGGAUGCGCAGUUGACCUGGACGCCGUGGAGACACUCCCGCUCCGAUCUAAGCACGUUCGGGUUCCAGUCACAUCGGACUAGUAUUCGCGUUGGCAUAACGGAUUGCACAGUCGAGCGAACCACCAGAUGCCAAGCCUACCGCAGGUACGUACCGGUACCCAGGAUGCACCGUUGCCGCAGCACUGCCUCUGCAUAAGAACAAGACGCCUCCGCGAGUGCCUGUGCCACGGCGUUGCGCGACGGUGGUGAUCGGAUCUCAAACUGGCGGCGCCUACGGCAAGCGCUCAUGCUGGUGCUGCGUUCUAAGGAACUUUAUACUGUGUGCGUACAGCUUGCAAACUUUGGACUAGAGGAGUUGACGCACGGAUGCUUUUCGGAAAAACCAGCCAAACACUGGCGUUCGCGGGUCUCUUUUCAACUGCUUACAAAGCUGCUGGCACUUGUGGAAGGUUUUGUCGCCGCGACGCUGCGGCCGAGGGCUUGUCUGCGCGUGUGGCGAGGGGUCAGCAGCUGGUGCACAGAAGGCGCCGAGUCCCUGGGCAGCGUUUUUCCGCGCUGCUCGACGGUCCCAUGGUGGACGCAUUUUCACAGGGACAAUUACAUCAUCACGCGGACUUGCAACUUUACGUUAUACGCACCAUGCUCUUAGGGGUGCUCGGGGUCAUCGGAAUGCGGAUCCACCGACCGCCGUUUCCGAUACUGAAUAACCGUACGCCACGUUGGCGACGCGCAGCGGAGGCGCGGAGGAUUCGCUUUCUUCGAGCUAAAAGUCGCGGCCCUUUCUUUGCUGACGUAGCAGACCGUCUCCCGAAACGACUUCGACCGCUGGUUCAAGAAGAGAUACCAGAAGAGCUCCAGGUCCGUCAAAGGCACACUCCGGCGAAGCGGACGGUCGCAAACGAUAGCUAAAGACAACUCCACGGAGUCUGUGAGCUGGAACAAGUUACACUCAUUCGAACCGGUACCCCUAACCCCAGCUUUACCUUGGACGAAGCUGAAAUGAGUGUUGGGCCGAACGGCGCUUCUGGCCAGUGCCACGGAGACGCUACUGACGCCACUUGUUCGACACAGAGCUGUCGUCGGAGGCACGCUCCCACCAGGUCGCUGUCUGCAUCCCUCGCCGCAAGAAACCAAAUGACCCACCAUCUUUCUCGUUCUGUUGUGGAAAUACGGCCUUCGUUAGGGCAUCCUUGGCCUCUGUGAGUCUCGGCCGUGUGGCAUACUGUGCAACCUGCCGAUAACGAUUCUCUUGGGUCUCGAGAAGCACCUGGUAUGGCUCUGGAUAUACCCUAAAUAUUGCGCCUUGAUAGUUGACAACAAAUGGAGGUCGCGAAAUCGACCUCGAGUACGAGCGCGUUCGCAAGUAGUAGACGGGCAAGAAUCGACAUAGAAAGCGGUGAUGGAGCAUCCGAGACGGAAACGCAGGCAAGCCCAGAUCACCACGUGAUGUAUCCAGCUGCAUAUUGAAUAGAAUGACGGGUCGCUGGUCGCCUCUCGUUUUGUCCGUUUCUUCGAGACGUUGCACGAACUUUUCCACGUCCACGAGCUCCUGCGCCGAGGCGCCAAGAACGAUAAAAAUAUCGUCAUCAUCCAAA
Cyanidioschyzon merolae strain 10D is the source of this 3034-nucleotide RNA transcript. RefSeq lists it as hypothetical. The record is from RefSeq and is a predicted model, not a curated record. NCBI's taxonomy places the organism in Eukaryota, Rhodophyta, Bangiophyceae, Cyanidiales, Cyanidiaceae. The transcript has a single exon.